RNAcentral lists this transfer RNA (74 nucleotides) under Candidatus Uhrbacteria bacterium. Its description in RNAcentral is "tRNA-Asp". It matches the Rfam family "tRNA". Rfam says of the family: Transfer RNA (tRNA) molecules are approximately 80 nucleotides in length. The record is from RNAcentral. Lineage: Bacteria; Candidatus Uhriibacteriota.
GCAGCCGUAGCGAAAUUGGUUAUCGCACCGCCCUGUCACGGCGGGGAUUGCGGGUUCGAGUCCCGUCGGCUGCG